This 344-nucleotide unclassified non-coding RNA is filed under the name soil metagenome. RNAcentral's name for it is "partial contains 5.8S ribosomal RNA, internal transcribed spacer 2, and large subunit ribosomal RNA". The stretch from base 1 to 120 matches the Rfam family "5.8S ribosomal RNA", at positions 35 to 154 of the family's 154-position model. The record is from RNAcentral.
GAUGAAGAACGUAGCGAAAUGCGAUUAGUAAUGUGAAUUGCAGAAUUCAGUGAAUCAUCGAAUCUUUGAACGCACAUUGCGCCCCCUGGUAUUCCGGGGGGCAUGCCUGUCCGAGCGUCAUUACUGCCCUCAAGCGCGGCUUGUGUGUUGGGCCCUCGUCCCCCCCGGGGGACGUGCCCGAAAGGCAGUGGCGGCGCCGUGCCCGGACCUCGAGCGUAUGGGGCUUUGUCACCCGCUCUGGAGACCCGGCCGGCGGCCGUCGGACCACCCCAACCUUUUUAACCGGUUGACCUCGGAUCAGGCAGGGAUACCCGCUGAACUUAAGCAUAUCAAUAAGCGGAGGA